CCAUCAGAUCUCCUAAAAAUCUAAUGAGCAGAGUGCCGACCUGCCUCAACCGAGUUGUCGAUUCAUUUUUGAGAAUGUAUCGUAGAACAACAUAUCGGUAGAGCUUCCAUUAUAAACUAAAAUUCUUUUUACAUUAUACUUUGCUAUUGUCAUAGAAACGAUAAUAGCAUCAUUACGAGGGGUUUGAAUCUCCUUUACAUCAUUUUCAGAAAAUAAAAUAAUAUCUUCAGUCUUUUAUCUCUUGGGAGAUGAGUCAUCAGUGCCAUAUAGGACGCUAGAUAUCAUGUUGAUAACACCGAUCGUUGGUCGGUUGUGGUCCUC
This 321-nucleotide long non-coding RNA is filed under the name Elaeis guineensis (African oil palm). RNAcentral describes it as "long non-coding RNA (EGUI_LNC045974)". The record is from RNAcentral. Lineage: Eukaryota; Viridiplantae; Streptophyta; Magnoliopsida; Arecales; Arecaceae.